AAAAGCCUACAUAGCAGUUCCAAUGCUACGCCUUGAACCGCUCGGCCAUCUCUCCUACAUAAUGAUUAUGAAUCAAAAACCAAGUGA
Molecule: transfer RNA, 87 nt
Filed under: Clerodendranthus spicatus
Lineage: Eukaryota; Viridiplantae; Streptophyta; Magnoliopsida; Lamiales; Lamiaceae
Description: tRNA-Ser
Source: RNAcentral